This 85-nucleotide transfer RNA is filed under the name Rickettsiales bacterium. RNAcentral's name for it is "tRNA-Leu". It matches the Rfam family "tRNA". From Rfam's summary of the family: Transfer RNA (tRNA) molecules are approximately 80 nucleotides in length. Their secondary structure includes four short double-helical elements and three loops (D, anti-codon, and T loops). Further hydrogen bonds mediate the characteristic L-shaped molecular structure. tRNAs have two regions of fundamental functional importance: the anti-codon, which is responsible for specific mRNA codon recognition, and the 3' end, to which the tRNAs corresponding amino acid is attached (by aminoacyl-tRNA synthetases). tRNAs cope with the degeneracy of the genetic code in two manners: having more than one tRNA (with a specific anti-codon) for a particular amino acid; and 'wobble' base-pairing, i.e. permitting non-standard base-pairing at the 3rd anti-codon position. The record is from RNAcentral. Lineage: Bacteria; Pseudomonadati; Pseudomonadota; Alphaproteobacteria; Rickettsiales.
GGAAAUGUGGCGGAAUUGGUAGACGCGCUGGAUUUAGGUUCCAGUGGAGCAAUCCAUCGGGGUUCGAGUCCCCGCAUUUCCACCA